RNAcentral lists this ribosomal RNA (496 nucleotides) under uncultured bacterium. RNAcentral's name for it is "partial 16S ribosomal RNA". It matches the Rfam family "Bacterial small subunit ribosomal RNA", at positions 28 to 506 of the family's 1533-position model. The record is from RNAcentral.
GAUGAACGCUGGCGGCGUGCCUAAUACAUGCAAGUCGAGCGAACGGACGAGAAGCUUGCUUCUCUGAUGUUAGCGGCGGACGGGUGAGUAACACGUGGAUAACCUACCUAUAAGACUGGGAUAACUUCGGGAAACCGGAGCUAAUACCGGAUGAUAUUUUGAACCGCAUGGUUCAAAAGUGAAAGACGGUCUUGCUGUCACUUAUAGAUGGAUCCGCGCUGCAUUAGCUAGUUGGUAAGGUAACGGCUUACCAAGGCAACGAUGCAUAGCCGACCUGAGAGGGUGAUCGGCCACACUGGAACUGAGACACGGUCCAGACUCCUACGGGAGGCAGCAGUAGGGAAUCUUCCGCAAUGGGCGAAAGCCUGACGGAGCAACGCCGCGUGAGUGAUGAAGGUCUUCGGAUCGUAAAACUCUGUUAUUAGGGAAGAACAUAUGUGUAAGUAACUGUGCACAUCUUGACGGUACCUAAUCAGAAAGCCACGGCUAGCUACGU